This 451-nucleotide long non-coding RNA is filed under the name Pan troglodytes (chimpanzee). RNAcentral's name for it is "long non-coding RNA NONPTRT001365". Lineage: Eukaryota; Metazoa; Chordata; Mammalia; Primates; Hominidae. The record is from RNAcentral.
GUGGAAAGAGAUGAGGCCCGAGGAGAAAAAUAAAACCAUGAGAAUCUCUAAACUAAGUAAAGAUGGCCCCCAGCAACGAAAGGCUGGUAGUGAGAACCAGAACUGUGGCUUUUCCUCAUGAUCUUGCCUGGCUCACUCAUUCAGUGUAAAUAACAAGAGCUGCCUAUAAAUCUACCUCCGAAGACAAAGGGAAAAGCAAAACUCUGCCCAGGAAGACCUUACUUUACAAACCGGGUGACCAAAUUUCUAAAACAUCAUUCCCGUAAUCCCUGAUCAACAGAAAGGAAGCUCUGGAAGCAUGAAUGGUCAGUACACACAUCAUCCACAGGACUCACACACCACAAACGAGUCAUUGAUCCCUUUGACCCAAUUUCAGAAAAUAUGUUUACAUAGAGACACAUAUUUUUGCUAUUUACUUUUUGAGCAACCAACAGGAAAACCUAUCCACAUA